GAGACACGCUGGCGGCGUGCCUAACACAUGCAAGUCGAACGGAGUUAAGUCUUCGGGAUUUAACUUAGUGGCGAACGGGUGAGUAACGCGUGAGGAACCUACCUUUCAGUGGGGGACAACAGUUGGAAACGACUGCUAAUACCGCAUAAUGCAAUUGAGUCGCAUGGCUCUGAUUGCCAAAGAUUUAUCGCUCUAAGAUGGCCUCGCGUCUGAUUAGCUAGUUGGUGGGGUAACGGCCCACCAAGGCGACGAUCAGUAGCCGGACUGAGAGGUUGACCGGCCACAUUGGGACUGAGACACGGCCCAGACUCCUACGGGAGGCAGCAGUGGGGAAUAUUGGGCAAUGGGCGCAAGCCUGACCCAGCAACGCCGCGUGAAGGAAGAAGGCUUUCGGGUUGUAAACUUCUUUAUAAGGGACGAAACAAAUGACGGUACCUUAUGAAUAAGCCACGGCUAACUACGUG
This 464-nucleotide ribosomal RNA is filed under the name uncultured bacterium. RNAcentral describes it as "bacterial SSU rRNA". It matches the Rfam family "Bacterial small subunit ribosomal RNA", at positions 33 to 507 of the family's 1533-position model. The record is from RNAcentral.